UGUGACGAGCAUCACCAGUCACUCUAUUUACCAUCGAUUAUUAGUUAUCCAUAGUGAUCAGCAGCUACAGGAAUUAUAAAUGAUGAUUAAUAAAUUAAUACUUGGGUGUUUGUCAUAUUUUUAUAAAUUAUUUUAUAUUUUAAUAAUUUUAUUUGAAUUUAAACACAAUUUACCAACUUUUUUUUUAUUUUAAAAAGAGAAAAUUAAAAAUAAUUUAAUUUCUUCUAUUCAUAAAAAUAUUGAGAAUAACGUUUUUAGAAAAUAAAAUGUUUUUCUAAUUUUUUUGAAAAAAAUGAUAAUAAUUAAUGUGAUGCCAUAUAUGUAACACCUGCAAUCUGUAAAUGAAAUUCAUAAUUUUUAAAAUUCUAAUUCUAAAUAUUUUAGUUGAAAAAGUUCAAAUAGAAGUAGUAAUAAAGAAUCACUUUCAUUAUGUUUGGAUGAAUGGAAAGAAAAAAAAAAUAAUAAUUAGAAAAAAAAAUAUAUUUUUAUUUUAUAUUCAAGUAUAGGAAAAAAAUAUUAAAAGAAAAUUUACUUUUUGAAUAAUAAAAUUAUAAUUACACUUCAAUAUUAAAAAAAAGUUAAAAAUAUAGAGAUAUUUUUAUAAUUUUAAAUAUUUUUCAUUAUUUUUUUCUAAUUUAGAGAAAAAAUAGAGUGAAAUUUAAUAUUUAUUUUCUCUUUAAUAUUUUAUUUCUUCUCUAACAUAAAUUGAAUGGAUAAUAAAGUUAUUUUAUUCUCAUAUUUUCCUUCUUUUCCAAUUUUUCUUUAAUCUAAAUACAGUAUUAAACUUGAUCGUAAUAGUUGUUGAUUUACAGAAAAAAUAAUAAUUUAAAGUAAAUAUUUAAAUUAUACAAAAAAAUGAAAAGCUACGUUUUUAAUACAUCUAAAAAUUCAAUCAUAUGAUUUUUUUAAAUAUGAUUUUCUUGAUAUUAAUUUGACAACAAUUCAAAUUUAAUGAUACUAAACUAUCUACAUUUAAAAAAUAAGUUUCACGUUUAAUUAUUGAUGAAUUUAUCAUAAAUCAUAUUUUGAGAAAAUUUCUCAAUUAAAAUAUAUUGAAAUUUAAUUCCCAUUAUACUUUUAAUAAAAGAAUAUUAUUGUAUAUACCCUUAAUAAAUUUAAUUUUAUAUAUCCUUAACAAUUAUAAAAUUAUAUGAAUGAAUUAAAAUAUAAAAUAUAAAUAAAUAUACAUUAAAAAAUAAAUUUAUACUUUUUAAUACAAAAUUAUAUUAACUAUAUGAAAUUUAAUUAAAUUUUAUAUUAUAGUAUUAAUUUUCAUUGUUAUAAUGUUGAGAUUUUAAUUUUUUAUUAAAAGAAAUUAAAAAAUAAUUAAUUUCAUUUCAUUUUUAAAUUUAAAUUGAACAGACUUUAUAUAAUUUUAUGUAAAAGUUUGCCCUUUAAUCUCAUAAUCUAGCUUCGCGACUGUAUAUAAUUAAUGGUUAACAAAGCUUUCAUGGUACUUAGAUUAAAAUAUUGCAGCAUAAGAACGUGCAAGAGAGCGAUUAACUCAGAAUCCAAGCAAAAAAUAUCGAUAAGAAGAAAUAAAAUCUCGUGGUCCAAAGCAAACAGAGGCAAAGGCAUGUGAUCGUAUCACUACACACUACAGGCGAAUCUGCUGUGAAGCCGGUUCCCGAGAGACUUUUUUUUCUUUUGUUUCUUGGUAGAAGCUCCUGCCCACCCACCAUUAUUAUUUAUGUCACUUAUCAAUCUGUUCUUUUCACCCAAAGGUCAUCAGUGGGGCACUAGUGGCGUCAAACUACUAUUACUAAAUGGGUAGUUCCAGCUAGGGUUUGCUAGGUGGUUUCUCAGUCAUUGCUUAUGUGGAUGGCUAUAAAAGGAUGUGUUAAAGGGUUUUGUUUUCUUGAGUCAGUUUAGGGUUCUUACAACAUAUACGAGGUCAUUAGGUCUUGGAUCUGUAAGAUUCUUUGGUGAUUUUAGAUGCCCAGUGUGGUUUUCUAUGUUUGUGUAGUGAAGAUGUUGCGUUUUCAGAGUAAAGUCACAGAAAUUGGUUUCAGAGCGUUGAAUGUAUUGGAUCUAAGGGUUUCUCGUAUAUGGUUUUCUCUAUAACUCUUUCUGCUGGGUUAGCUUAGCUCUAUUGUUGUAUUUUUCGACUCUUCCUUUUCUUCUUUGAUUCUUUCUAAUAUUUGUUUGUGCUGUUAUGGCCUUUCGAAGAUUAGAUGAGAUCUGUAAGAAUUUUGAUGUAACGCUGUGGAUUGACUUGUUUGGUAGUUUGUGUUUUUCUGGUGUUAGGGUUUGGUUUUUAUCAGUAUCUGUAUUAGGGUUAAGAAGUGGAGCUCCUUGAAGUCCAAUAGAGGAUCUUGCAGGGUAGAUUGAGCUGCUGAGCUAUGGAUCCCACAGCCCUAUCCCAUAAUAAAAAGAUCAGACUUCUUGGAUAGGCUUGCGGCUUGCAUAUCUCAGGAGCUUCAUUACCUCAAAUGUUAGAUCCUUGUUUGGAUUGAAGGGAGCUCUA
Molecule: precursor RNA, 2467 nt
Filed under: Hevea brasiliensis (rubber tree)
Lineage: Eukaryota; Viridiplantae; Streptophyta; Magnoliopsida; Malpighiales; Euphorbiaceae
Description: partial precursor microRNA 159b
Rfam family: MIR159 microRNA precursor family (bases 2277-2467)
Source: RNAcentral